AGUGAACGCUGGCGGUAGGCCUAACACAUGCAAGUCGAACGGCAGCACAGUAAGAGCUUGCUCUUACGGGUGGCGAGUGGCGGACGGGUGAGGAAUACAUCGGAAUCUACUUUUUCGUGGGGGAUAACGUAGGGAAACCUACGCUAAUACCGCAUACGACCUACGGGUGAAAGCAGGGGAUCUUCGGACCUUGCGCGAUUGAAUGAGCCGAUGUCGGGUUAGCUAGUUGGCGGGGUAAAGGCCCACCAAGGCGACGAUCCGUAGCUGGUCUGAGAGGAUGAUCAGCCACACUGGAACUGAGACACGGUCCAGACUCCUACGGGAGGCAGCAGUGGGGAAUAUUGGACAAUGGGCGCAAGCCUGAUCCAGCCAUACCGCGUGGGUGAAGAAGGCCUUCGGGUUGUAAAGCCCUUUUGUUGGGAAAGAAAAGCAGCAGGUUAAUACCCCGCUGUUCUGACGGUACCCAAAGAAUAAGCACCGGCUAACUUCGUG
RNAcentral lists this ribosomal RNA (492 nucleotides) under uncultured bacterium. Its description in RNAcentral is "partial 16S ribosomal RNA". It matches the Rfam family "Bacterial small subunit ribosomal RNA", at positions 29 to 507 of the family's 1533-position model. The record is from RNAcentral.